CUCCUACGGGAGGCAGCAGUGGGGAAUAUUGGACAAUGGGCGAAAGCCUGAUCCAGCCAUGCCGCGUGUGUGAAGAAGGUCUUCGGAUUGUAAAGCACUUUAAGUUGGGAGGAAGGGCAUUAACCUAAUACGUUAGUGUGUUGACGGUACCGGCGGAAUAAGCACCGGCUAACUUCGUGCCAGCAGCCGCGGUAAUACGAAGGGUGCAAGCGUUAAUCGGAAUUACUGGGCGUAAGCGCGCGUAGGUGGUUCGGUAAGUUGGAUGUGAAAGGCCCGGGCUCAACCUGGGAACUGGAUCCAAAACUGGCGAGCUAGAGUACGGNAGAGGGUGGUGGAAUUUCCUGUGUAGCGGNGAAAUGCGUAGAUAUAGG
This 371-nucleotide ribosomal RNA is filed under the name uncultured Pseudomonas sp. RNAcentral's name for it is "bacterial SSU rRNA". It matches the Rfam family "Bacterial small subunit ribosomal RNA", at positions 336 to 700 of the family's 1533-position model. Lineage: Bacteria; Pseudomonadati; Pseudomonadota; Gammaproteobacteria; Pseudomonadales; Pseudomonadaceae. The record is from RNAcentral.